GACGAACGCUGGCGGCGUGCUUAACACAUGCAAGUCGAACGGAAAGGCCCUGCUUUUGUGGGGUGCUCGAGUGGCGAACGGGUGAGUAACACGUGAGUAACCUGCCCUUGACUUUGGGAUAACUUCAGGAAACUGGGGCUAAUACCGGAUAGGAGCUCCUGCUGCAUGGUGGGGGUUGGAAAGUUUCGGCGGUUGGGGAUGGACUCGCGGCUUAUCAGCUUGUUGGUGGGGUAGUGGCUUACCAAGGCUUUGACGGGUAGCCGGCCUGGGAGGGGGACCGGCCACAUUGGGACUGAGAUACGGCCCAGACGCCUACGGGAGGCAGCAGUGGGGAAUAUUGCACAAUGGGCGGAAGCCUGAUGCAGCAACGCCGCGUGCGGGAUGACGGCCUUCGGGUUGUAAACCGCUUUCGCCUGUGACGAAGCGUGAGUGACGGUAAUGGGUAAAGAAGCACCGGCUAACUACGUG
RNAcentral lists this ribosomal RNA (468 nucleotides) under uncultured bacterium. RNAcentral describes it as "partial 16S ribosomal RNA". It matches the Rfam family "Bacterial small subunit ribosomal RNA", at positions 28 to 507 of the family's 1533-position model. The record is from RNAcentral.